RNAcentral lists this ribosomal RNA (465 nucleotides) under uncultured bacterium. RNAcentral's name for it is "bacterial SSU rRNA". It matches the Rfam family "Bacterial small subunit ribosomal RNA", at positions 917 to 1382 of the family's 1533-position model. The record is from RNAcentral.
GGGCCCGCACAAGCGGUGGAUGAUGUGGUUUAAUUCGAUGCAACGCGAAAAACCUUACCUACCCUUGACAUGCCAGGAACGCUGCAGAAAUGCAGCGGUGCCCGAAAGGGAACCUGGACACAGGUGCUGCAUGGCUGUCGUCAGCUCGUGUCGUGAGAUGUUGGGUUAAGUCCCGCAACGAGCGCAACCCUUGCCAUUAGUUGCUACAUUCAGUUGAGCACUCUAAUGGGACUGCCGGUGACAAACCGGAGGAAGGUGGGGAUGACGUCAAGUCCUCAUGGCCCUUAUGGGUAGGGCUACACACGUCAUACAAUGGCGCGUACAGAGGGUUGCCAACCAGCGAUGGGGAGCCAAUCCCAGAAAGCGCGUCGUAGUCCGGAUUGAAGUCUGCAACUCGACUUCAUGAAGUCGGAAUCGCUAGUAAUCGCGGAUCAGCAUGUCGCGGUGAAUACGUUCCCGGGCCUU